UUGGGGGGAGGGUGAUUAGGAUGU
Molecule: non-coding RNA, 24 nt
Filed under: Cricetulus griseus (Chinese hamster)
Lineage: Eukaryota; Metazoa; Chordata; Mammalia; Rodentia; Cricetidae
Source: RNAcentral